This 2272-nucleotide ribosomal RNA is filed under the name activated sludge metagenome. Its description in RNAcentral is "bacterial LSU rRNA". It matches the Rfam family "Bacterial large subunit ribosomal RNA", at positions 214 to 2487 of the family's 2925-position model. The record is from RNAcentral.
AGGAGAAGAAAACAAUCUAGUGAUUGCGCAAGUAGUGGCGAGCGAACGCGUAAGAGCCCAAACCAGGUCAGUUACGGCUGCCCUGGGGUUAUAGGACUACAUAAUCUGACUAACAUGAAGUUGAACUGGGUGGGAAACCAGGCCAUAGAGGGUGAUAGCCCCUUAAGCGUAAGGUGUUAGAAGGAGGUAGUAUCCUGAGUAGGGCGGGGUCGGAGACGCCCCGUUUGAAGUUGCCAGCACCAUCUGGUAAGGCUAAAUACUCCUGAGAGACCGAUAGAGAACCAGUACUGUGAAGGAAAGGUGAAAAGUACUCCGAAUAGGAGGGUGAAAUAGAACCUGAAACCAUACGCUUACAAGCGGUUGGAGCUCCGAAAUGGAGUGACAGCGUGCCUUUUGCAUAAUGAGCCUACGAGUUACUGUCACUGGCAAGGUUAAGUGUCUGAAGACACGCAGCCGGAGCGAAAGCGAGUCUGAAUAGGGCGUACAGUCAGUGGGAGUAGACGCGAAACUUUGUGAUCUACCCUUGGUCAGGAUGAAGUUCCGGUAACACGGGAUGGAGGUCCGAACUAGUAAACGUUGAAAAGUUUUUGGAUGAACUGAGGGUAGGGGUGAAAGGCUAAUCAAACUGAGAAAUAGCUCGUACUCCCCGAAAUGCCUUUAGGGGCAGUGUGGAGGUUAAGUUUUGUACAGGUAGAGCUACCAAUUGGACUAGGGGGAGUCACAUCCUACCAAAUCCAGAUGAACUCCGAAUGGUACUAAAUAUACUCUGCAAUGAGGGCAUGGGUGCUAAGGUCCGUGUCCGAGAGGGAAAGAACCCAGACCAACAGCUAAGGUCCCAAAAUCUACACUAAGUUGAACUAAGGCGGUUCAGUUGCUUAGACAGCCAGGAUGUUUGCUUGGAAGCAGCAAUUCAUUUAAAGAGUGCGUAACAGCUCACUGGUCGAGCGACAGAGCAUCGAUAAUAAUCGGGCAUCAAGUGUAGUACCGAAGCUCAGGAUUUAGCAGCAAUGCUAAGUGGUAGGGGAGCAUUCUAACAGCGGAGAAGUCGUCUGGUAAUGGACGGUGGAGCAGUUAGAAAAGCAAAUGUAGGCAUAAGUAACGAUAAGGCAGGCGAGAAACCUGCCCACCGAUAGACUAAGGGUUCCGCGGCAAUGCUAAUCAUCCGCGGGUAAGUCGGGGCCUAAGGCGAGCCCGAAAGGGGUAGUUGAUGGACAACCGGUUAAUAUUCCGGUACUAGCGUAUUGAGCGAUGGGGUGAAGGAGUAGUGAUAGUUCCGCGACCUGACGAAAUAGGUCGUUUAAGGAUGUAGGUAUAGGCCUGGUAGGAAAAUCCGCCGGGUUUGCUGAAAUCUGAAAGUACCAGGAGGCUUCGGCCAAAUGGAGUGAACGUAAGCAGACUUCCGAGAAAACCCCCUAAGCAUAUUGAUACGGUACCCGUACCGCAAACCGACACAGGUAGUCAAGGAGAGAAUCCUGAGGUGCUCGAGUGAAUCAUGGCUAAGGAACUAGGCAAAUUAAACCUGUAACUUCGGGAAAAGGGUUGCCUCUCUUUAGCAAUAAAGAAGGUCGCAGAGAAAUGGCCCAGGCGACUGUUUAACAAAAACACAUGGCUAUGCGAAAUCGAAAGAUGAGGUAUAUGGCCUGACACCUGCCCGGUGCUGGAAGGUUAAGGGGGGAUGUUAGUGGAGCAAUCUGCGAAGCAUUGAACUGAAGCCCCAGUAAACGGCGGCCGUAACUAUAACGGUCCUAAGGUAGCGAAAUUCCUUGUCGGGUAAGUUCCGACCUGCACGAAUGGUGUAACGAUCUGGGCACUGUCUCAACCAUGAGCUCGGUGAAAUUGUAGUCACGGUGAAGAUGCCGUGUACCCGUCACGGGACGGAAAGACCCCAUGCACCUUUACUAUAGCUUCACAUUGACAUUGGGUAACUGAUGUGUAGGAUAGGCGGGAGGCUUUGAUCCGUGGCCGCUAGGUUACGGGGAGUCAACGGUGAAAUACCGCCCUUUAUUUUCUUGAUGUCUAAUCCCUGAAAAGGGAGACAGUGUGUGGUGGGUAGUUUGACUGGGGUGGUCGCCUCCGAAAGUGUAUCGGAGGCUUUCAAAGGUAUGCUCAGUACGCUUGGUAACCGUACGUGGAGUGCAAUAGCAUAAGCAUGCUUGACUGUGAGACUGACGGGUCGAUCAGGAACGAAAGUUGGAUAUAGUGAUCCGGUGGUUCUGUAUGGAAGGGCCAUCGCUCAAAGGAUAAAAGGUACGCUGGGGAUAACAGGCUGAUC